Molecule: ribosomal RNA, 262 nt
Filed under: uncultured bacterium
Lineage: Bacteria
Description: partial 16S ribosomal RNA
Rfam family: Bacterial small subunit ribosomal RNA
Source: RNAcentral
GUCCACGCCGUAAACGUUGGGCGCUAGGUGUGGGGAACCUUCCACGUUCUCCGUGCCGUAGCUAACGCAUUAAGCGCCCCGCCUGGGGAGUACGGCCGCAAGGCUAAAACUCAAAGGAAUUGACGGGGGCCCGCACAAGCGGCGGAGCAUGCGGCUUAAUUCGAUGCAACGCGAAGAACCUUACCUAGGCUUGACAUAUACCGAAAACUCGUAGAGAUACGGGGUCCGCAAGGGCGGUAUACAGGUGGUGCAUGGUUGUCGU